Molecule: non-coding RNA, 73 nt
Organism: Myotis lucifugus (little brown bat)
Lineage: Eukaryota; Metazoa; Chordata; Mammalia; Chiroptera; Vespertilionidae
Source: Rfam
GGCGGUUCUUGGAUGACGCACCAUGGAAUUGGGCUCCCCCUCUCUGGUUCUGGUGCGUCACCCGAGAACCGAG